RNAcentral lists this ribosomal RNA (383 nucleotides) under uncultured bacterium. RNAcentral's name for it is "bacterial SSU rRNA". It matches the Rfam family "Bacterial small subunit ribosomal RNA", at positions 28 to 411 of the family's 1533-position model. The record is from RNAcentral.
GACGAACGCUGGCGGCGUGCUUAACACAUGCAAGUCGAGCGGUAAGGCCCUUUCGGGGGUACACGAGCGGCGAACGGGUGAGUAACACGUGGGUGACCUGCCUUUAGCUCUGGGAUAAGCCCGGGAAACUGGGUCUAAUACCGGAUAUGACUCCAUGAUGCAUGUUGUGGGGUGGAAAGCCUUGUGCGGCUGGAGAUGGGCCCGCGGCCUAUCAGCUUGUUGGUGGGUGAUGGCCUACCAAGGCGACGACGGGUAGCCGGCCUGAGAGGGCGACCGGCCACACUGGGACUGAGACACGGCCCAGACUCCUACGGGAGGCAGCAGGUGGGGAAUAUUGCACAAGUGGGACGAAAGCCUGACGCAGCGACGCCGCGCGAGGAUGA